This 1209-nucleotide long non-coding RNA is filed under the name Apteryx rowi (Okarito brown kiwi). RNAcentral describes it as "lncRNA (ENSARWG00000003510.1)". The record is from RNAcentral. Lineage: Eukaryota; Metazoa; Chordata; Aves; Apterygiformes; Apterygidae.
CCCGCCCUGCCCGCAGCCCUGCUGCCGCCCGCGCCGGGAGCGCGCGGCUGCGCUCUGCCAGCCGCUCCCGCUUCCUCGGCCCCCGAGCGCCAACCGCCGCCAGCACCGGUAACGGCCCCCGAACGCGAAUCGCCGCCAGGACCGUUAAGGGCCCCCGAGCGCCAACCGCCGCGAGGACCGUUAACGGCCCCCGAACGCGAACCGCCGCCAGGACCGGUAACGGCCCCCGAACGCGAACCGCCGCCAGGACCGGUAACGACUCCCGAGCGCGAACCGCCGCCAGGACCGUUAACGGCUCCCGAACGCCAACCGCCACCAGGACCGUUAACGACUCCCGAGGGCGAACCGCCGCGAGGACCGUUAACGGCUCCCGAACGCGAUUCGCCGCCAGGACCGUUAACGACUCCCGAGGGCGAACCGCCACGAGGACCGUUAACGGCCCCCGAGCGCGAACCGCCGCCAGGACCGUUAACGACUCCCGAACGCCAACCGCCGCGAGGACCGUUAACGACUCCCAAGCGCGAACCGCCGCGAGGACCGUUAACGGCCCCCGAACGCCAACCGCCRCCAGGACCGUUAACGACUCCCGAGGGCGAACCGCCGCCAGGACCGUUAACGGCUCCCGAACGCGAUUCGCCGCGAGGACCGUUAACGACUCCCGAGGGCGAACCGCCGCCAGGACUGUUAACGACUCCCGAACGCCAACCGCCGCCAGGACCGUUAACGGCCCCCAAACGCCAACCGCCGCCAGGACCGUUAACGGCUCCAGAGCGCGAACUGCCGCCAGGAUCGGGAGCCGUCCCCGAGCGCGAACUGCGGCGGGGACCGUUAGCCUUUAGCCCCCGAGCGGCAGCCCGCAGCGCUCCCCACAAGCUCCCCGGCUUGGCGAGCGCAGCCCGCGGAGGGAGGUCUCGGGGCGGGCCGCCGGGGAGGACGACGGGUGCCCCGCUGCCCUGGGGUGCGGAGGAGGCUGGGGGAGCGCAGGUGGGGCUGGGGAGGAACAGCCGCUCCCGGGCAAGGCAGAAGGGGCCUCAGCAGCCCGAGGCGGCUCUCGGGCGCCCUUCGGCACCGCCGGCUGCCCAGGCGCGCGCCUGGUCCCGCCAGCCCCGGCCGCGUCCCCGCUGUGCUUGGAGGCGCUGCCUCUCCCGGGAGCGCUUGCGGAGAAGCUCACAGAGGGAUUGCUUGCGCGUUUUACACAUUCUUAUGUAG